UAUUGCACAAUGGGGGAAACCCUGAGGCAGCGACGCCGCGGGAGGGAAGAAGUAUUUCGGUAUGUAAAGCUCUAUCAGCAGGGAAGAUAAUGACGGUACCGGACUAAGAAGCCCCGGCUAACUACGGGCCAGCAGCCGCGGAAAUACGUAGGGGGCAAGGGUUAUCCGGAUUUACUGGGUGUAAAGGGUGCGUAGGUGGCAGGGCAAGUCAGAUGUGAAAGCCCGGGGCUCAACCCCGGUACUGCAUUUGAAACUGUCCAGCUGGAGUGCAGGAGAGGUAAGCGGAAUUCCUAGUGUAGCGGUGAAAUGCGUAGAUAUUAGGAGGAACACCAGUGGCGAAGGCGGCUUACUGGACUGUAACUGACACUGAGGCACGAAAGCGUGGGGAGCA
Molecule: ribosomal RNA, 391 nt
Filed under: uncultured bacterium
Lineage: Bacteria
Description: bacterial SSU rRNA
Rfam family: Bacterial small subunit ribosomal RNA
Source: RNAcentral